This is a long non-coding RNA of Varanus komodoensis (Komodo dragon), 264 nucleotides long. RefSeq lists it as uncharacterized. The transcript has 2 exons. Lineage: Eukaryota; Metazoa; Chordata; Lepidosauria; Squamata; Varanidae. The record is from RefSeq and is a predicted model, not a curated record.
AGCAGUAAAUGAUAGGAUCCAGAACACAGUUGGCACCCAGGAGGAAGAGGGUUAUUUGAAGGAAGUGAAAGAUCUGUACAGAAAAGCAACGCAGAAGAUGAUUCACGCCUGUGCCUUGAGAAAUGCUGCUCAGUUGACACAAGCCACACAGUGAAUUGGCCAGUAUGUCAAUGUGAUGUACGCAUUGUUCAUGUUUCCUUUUCCUUGAAAGUAACUGAAAUGGACUCUUGCUUAACUUAACUUUAAAACCACUCAGUUUAACAA